Molecule: ribosomal RNA, 159 nt
Filed under: Telanthophora liebmannii
Lineage: Eukaryota; Viridiplantae; Streptophyta; Magnoliopsida; Asterales; Asteraceae
Description: 5.8S ribosomal RNA
Rfam family: 5.8S ribosomal RNA
About the family: 5.8S ribosomal RNA (5.8S rRNA) is a component of the large subunit of the eukaryotic ribosome. It is transcribed by RNA polymerase I as part of the 45S precursor that also contains 18S and 28S rRNA.
Source: RNAcentral
GACUCUCGGCAACGGAUAUCUCGGCUCAUGCAUCGAUGAAGAACGUAGCAAAAUGCGAUACUUGGUGUGAAUUGCAGAAUCCCGUGAACCAUCGAGUUUUUGAACGCAAGUUGCGCCCAAAGCCUUUUGGCCGAGGGCACGUCUGCCUGGGCGUCACAC